RNAcentral lists this ribosomal RNA (465 nucleotides) under Vreelandella stevensii. RNAcentral describes it as "partial 16S ribosomal RNA". It matches the Rfam family "Bacterial small subunit ribosomal RNA", at positions 338 to 795 of the family's 1533-position model. Lineage: Bacteria; Pseudomonadati; Pseudomonadota; Gammaproteobacteria; Oceanospirillales; Halomonadaceae. The record is from RNAcentral.
CCUACGGGUGGCUGCAGUGGGGAAUAUUGGACAAUGGGGGCAACCCUGAUCCAGCCAUGCCGCGUGUGUGAAGAAGGCCCUCGGGUUGUAAAGCACUUUCAGUGAGGAAGAACGCCUGGUGGUUAAUACCCAUCAGGAAAGACAUCACUCACAGAAGAAGCACCGGCUAACUCCGUGCCAGCAGCCGCGGUAAUACGGAGGGUGCGAGCGUUAAUCGGAAUUACUGGGCGUAAAGCGCGCGUAGGUGGCUUGAUAAGCCGGUUGUGAAAGCCCCGGGCUCAACCUGGGAACGGCAUCCGGAACUGUCAAGCUAGGGUGCAGGAGAGGAAGGUAGAAUUCCCGGUGUAGCGGUGAAAUGCGUAGAGAUCGGGAGGAAUACCAGUGGCGAAGGCGGCCUUCUGGACUGACACUGACACUGAGGUGCGAAAGCGUGGGUAGCAAACAGGAUUAGAUACCCGAGUAGUC